Molecule: ribosomal RNA, 738 nt
Filed under: Kudoa ogawai
Lineage: Eukaryota; Metazoa; Cnidaria; Myxozoa; Multivalvulida; Kudoidae
Description: eukaryotic LSU rRNA
Rfam family: Eukaryotic large subunit ribosomal RNA
Source: RNAcentral
UUAAGCAUAUCAGUAAGCGGAGGAAAAGAAAACAACUGUGAUUCCCCUAGUAACUGCGAGUGAAGCGGGAUAAGCCCAUCGUUUAAUCUUCCUGUACUUAGGACGGGACGACGUGUAACGGUAUGGAUAGGUCUACUUCUAACUAUAACUGGUCAAAGUCCUUCGGAUUGAGGUGCCAAAGAGGGUGAUAGCCCCGUGUAUGACCAGUUGUUGGCUAGGUAUGUAACCAAUUCCGAGAGUAGGGUUGUUUGGGAUUGCAACCUAAAGUAGGUGGUAAACUCCACCCAAGGCUAAAUAUGGACACGAAACCGAUAGCGAACAAGUACUGUGAGGGAAAGUUGAAAAGAACUCUGAAAAGAGAGUUAAAAGUACGUGAAACCGCUAACGGGGAAGCGGAAGGCAGUGUCGAGAUCUGGUAAGUGAGUCAGGACAAGUGUUUACGUUGUGAUAAAUGCUUAUUCUGACUAGCUUUGCCUGAUGCGUCAGACCUACUGGCAGAUAUGAUUACAUGCCCGGGGUGGCUUUUACGACACUUGGAUGCUUUAUAGUAUUUAGGCUAGUUUGAGCACCCGGGUUAUACGUCGUGUUUGCUGGUAUGUAUUGUGAUGAAGCGUUGGUAAUGUAUAUCGGUUGGUGGUGCGUAAUAAUAUACAGUGGUCACAGGGUGGACACUGUGUGGUAUUGUGCAAGUGGUUAGUCAACAGCCAAUGCUAGUGUCUGACGAGAUACCCAACUUUC